GAUGAAGAACGCAGCGAAAUGUGAUAAGUAAUGUGAAUUGCAGAAUUCAGUGAAUCAUCGAAUCUUUGAACGCACAUUGCGCCCGCCAGUAUUCUGGCGAGCAUGCCUGUUCGAGCGUCAUUUCAACCAUCAAGCCCCAGGCUUGUGUUGGAGCCCUGCGGCUGCCGCAGCCUCCCAAAACCAGUGGCGGGCUCGCUAUCACACCGAGUGCAGUAGUUUACUCUUCGCUCAGGGCGUGUGGCGGGUGCUAGCCGUGAAACCCCCAACUUCUCAAGGUUGACCUCGGAUCAGGUAGGAAUACCCGCUGAACUUAAGCAUAUCAAUAAGCGGAGGA
Molecule: unclassified non-coding RNA, 334 nt
Filed under: soil metagenome
Description: partial contains 5.8S ribosomal RNA, internal transcribed spacer 2, and large subunit ribosomal RNA
Rfam family: 5.8S ribosomal RNA (bases 1-120)
Source: RNAcentral